CAGAUAUUCAGUGUUCAAAUUUCGGUAACCACAAAGGGAUUCUGAGUGGAGGUACCCCUGAACUUUGACAAAUCUCAUAUUGGUGCUUGGUACCAGCAUGAGCAACUUUGUGGCUCAAACCAAUAGGACAAUUUGCUGAGGUCUGGGAGCACCCCCUCCAGAGAAUCCCUGAUAUCCCUAAAUUUGGUAGAGAUCUAAAGUUUAUUUUGCUGUACAACUCCCUUUUUUUUGGAGUUUUACUUGCUUCUAACACGGAAGGCAAGAUUCCCUGCUUCCAUGACGAUGGAAAGCAAGUACCUCCUUUAUGGAGUUUGAGCUCACUCCCAACAAGAAAGACGAGUUUGAGUUUUUUUCCUGCUUCAAGGAUAGUAGAAAGCAGUCUUCAACCUGAGACCCAUUCCUAGGAAUCAAACUUGACUUAUGGAGCCAAUAAAAGUCCCAUGGGAAAACUGGCCUUAUACCUUGUCUACACAGUCCCUGUACAGGGUUCCUGACAUGUGGAUCUGGAAGCCCCCUCACCACUUCAAGUUGUCCCACUUUUUCUUCGAGUUGUUGUCCCCGCUUUCUGGACCAAACCAAUGUUCAUCCUACAUAUGAUGAUUGAUGUCUCAUGCCUCCCUAAAAUGUAUAAAACCAAACUGCACUCUGACCACCUUGGGCACAUGUCAUCAGGACCUCCUGAGGCUGUGUCAUGGGUACAUGUCCUCAACCUUGGCA
Molecule: long non-coding RNA, 717 nt
Filed under: Homo sapiens (human)
Lineage: Eukaryota; Metazoa; Chordata; Mammalia; Primates; Hominidae
Description: HSALNT0285734
Source: RNAcentral